Molecule: small RNA, 18 nt
Filed under: Arabidopsis thaliana (thale cress)
Lineage: Eukaryota; Viridiplantae; Streptophyta; Magnoliopsida; Brassicales; Brassicaceae
Description: Ath_wt_00582
Source: RNAcentral
UGCCCGGACCCUGUCGCA